UACGUAGGCGGCAAGCGUUGUCCGGAAUUAUUGGGCGUAAAGCGCGCGCAGGUGGUCUCUUAAGUCUGAUGUGAAAGCCCCCGGCUCAACCGGGGAGGGUCAUUGGAAACUGGGAGACUUGAGUCCCCAGGCACGAGAAGAGUGGAAUUCCACGUGUAGCGGUGAAAUGCGUAGAGAUGUGGAGGAACACCAGUGGCGAAGG
RNAcentral lists this ribosomal RNA (202 nucleotides) under uncultured Bacillus sp. RNAcentral's name for it is "partial 16S ribosomal RNA". It matches the Rfam family "Bacterial small subunit ribosomal RNA", at positions 524 to 721 of the family's 1533-position model. Lineage: Bacteria; Bacillati; Bacillota; Bacilli; Caryophanales; Bacillaceae. The record is from RNAcentral.